GGGCUUGCUUCGGCAGCACAUGUACUACAAUUGGAAUGGUACAGAGACGAUUAGAAUGGCCCCUGGACAAGGAUGACACGCAAAUUCAUGAAGCCUUCCAUAUUUUU
This is a small nuclear RNA of Oryctolagus cuniculus (rabbit), 107 nucleotides long. NCBI's taxonomy places the organism in Eukaryota, Metazoa, Chordata, Mammalia, Lagomorpha, Leporidae. The record is from Ensembl.